Molecule: ribosomal RNA, 508 nt
Filed under: uncultured bacterium
Lineage: Bacteria
Description: bacterial SSU rRNA
Rfam family: Bacterial small subunit ribosomal RNA
Source: RNAcentral
CGCUGGCGGCGUGCCUAAUACAUGCAAGUCGAGCGAAUGAUUAGAGAAGCUUGCUUCUCUCUGAUUAGCGGCGGACGGGUGAGUAACACGUGGGUAACCUACCCUAUAGACUGGGAUAACUUCGGGAAACCGGAGACUAAUACCGGAUAAUACUUCGAAACACAUGUUUUGGAAGUUGAAAGAUGGUUUCGGCUAAUCACUAUAGGAUGGACCCGCGGCGCAUUAGCUAGUUGGUGAGGUAACGGCUCACCAAGGCAACGAUGCGUAGCCGACCUGAGAGGGUGAUCGGCCACACUGGGACUGAGACACGGCCCAGACUCCUACGGGAGGCAGCAGUAGGGAAUCUUCCACAAUGGACGAAAGUCUGAUGGAGCAACGCCGCGUGAAGUGAAGAAGGAUUUCGGUUCGUAAAACUCUGUUGCAAGGGAAGAACAAGUAGCGUAGUAACUGGCGCUACCUUGACGGUACCUUGUUAGAAAGCCACGGCUAACUACGUGCCAGCAGCUGC